UUUCCGUAGGUGAACCUGCGGAAGGAUCAUUACCGAAUUGUCAAACGGGUUGUUGUUGGUCUUCAAACGGGGACAUGUGCACGCUCUGUUUACACAUCCACUCACACCUGUGCACCCUCCGUAGUUCUAUGGUCUGGGGGACCCUGUCUUCCUGCCGUGGUUCUACGUCUUUACACACACUCUGUAAUAAAGUCUUAUGGAAUGUAUGCCGCGUCUAACGCAAUACAAUACAACUUUCAGCAACGGAUCUCUUGGCUCUC
RNAcentral lists this unclassified non-coding RNA (260 nucleotides) under plant metagenome. RNAcentral's name for it is "partial contains small subunit ribosomal RNA, internal transcribed spacer 1, and 5.8S ribosomal RNA". The record is from RNAcentral.